This 612-nucleotide ribosomal RNA is filed under the name Marasmius bekolacongoli. RNAcentral describes it as "eukaryotic LSU rRNA". It matches the Rfam family "Eukaryotic large subunit ribosomal RNA", at positions 53 to 651 of the family's 3401-position model. Lineage: Eukaryota; Fungi; Basidiomycota; Agaricomycetes; Agaricales; Marasmiaceae. The record is from RNAcentral.
GAGGAAAAGAAACUACCAAGGAUUCCCCUAGUAACUGCGAGUGAAGAGGGAAAAGCUCAAAUUUAAAAUCUGGCAGCUUCGCUGUCCGAGUUGUAAUUUAGAGAAGUGUUACCCGCGUUGGACCGUGUAUAAGUCUCCUGGAAUGGAGCGUCAUAGAGGGUGAGAAUCCCGUCUUUGACACGGACUACCAAGGCAUUGUGGUGCGCUCUCGAAGAGUCGAGUUGUUUGGGAAUGCAGCUCUAAAUGGGUGGUAAAUUCCAUCUAAAGCUAAAUAUUGGCGAGAGACCGAUAGCGAACAAGUACCGUGAGGGAAAGAUGAAAAGAACUUUGGAAAGAGAGUUAAACAGUACGUGAAAUUGCUGAAAGGGAAACGCUUGAAGUUAGUCGCGUUAGCCAGGGAUCAGCCUUGCUUUUGUGAGGUGCACUUCCUGGUUGACGGGUCAGCAUCAGUUUCGACCAUUGGAAAAAGGCUUGGGGAAUGUGGCACUUUCGGGUGUGUUAUAGCCCCUUGUCGUAUACAGUGGUUGGGACUGAGGAACUCAGCACGCCGCAAGGCCGGGUUUCGACCACGCUCGUGCUUAGGAUGCUGGCGAAAUGGCUUUAAGCGACCCG